GCUCUCUUGGCAAGGUUGGGAACUCUUGGUGGGAAUUCGGCAUUUGUGGCUUGGCGAAUAGAGAAGCAAUUGUGGACUUUUCUAAAGCAAAGUUCAGGACAUGGACAUGGAAACAGAUAAAGAAGAGGAGCAUACCUUUUGAAUUAGUUUCCUGAAGAAAUAUAACCGACAAUCAGUGAGAAAACUUGGAUCAACAGAAAGUUGUACGACUACUCAUGUCCUGAAUACAAAUAAAGGGUAAGCAAAUUUAAAAUAUUAAUGAUUA
This 265-nucleotide long non-coding RNA is filed under the name Monodelphis domestica (gray short-tailed opossum). RNAcentral's name for it is "lncRNA (ENSMODG00000043484.1)". Lineage: Eukaryota; Metazoa; Chordata; Mammalia; Didelphimorphia; Didelphidae. The record is from RNAcentral.